This 253-nucleotide ribosomal RNA is filed under the name uncultured bacterium. RNAcentral describes it as "partial 16S ribosomal RNA". It matches the Rfam family "Bacterial small subunit ribosomal RNA", at positions 524 to 776 of the family's 1533-position model. The record is from RNAcentral.
CACGUAGGGGGCGAGCGUUGUCCGGAAUUAUUGGGCGUAAAGAGCUCGUAGGCGGUUUGUCGCGUCUGCUGUGAAAACUCGAGGCUCAACCUCGGGCUUGCAGUGGGUACGGGCAGACUAGAGUGCGGUAGGGGUGACUGGAAUUCCUGGUGUAGCGGUGAAAUGCGCAGAUAUCAGGAGGAACACCGGUGGCGAAGGCGGGUCUCUGGGCCGUAACUGACGCUGAGGAGCGAAAGCAUGGGGAGCGAACAGG